CCCGCUUGGUCGAUCAAUCUCCGUCUUCUGGUUUCUUAUAUCACCAGAUCCAGAUCCAGAUCCAGAACAAGAAAUUGAAAUUGAAAUUCCGUCAUUAUUAUCACUCACCGCAUCAAGUUGGUUCUUGUUGUCGGUCUGAGUGGAAGCAUUAGCAGCAUUGGUGCAUGCGUUUGCCUUGUAAACCUUGACGGCGGUGGUGGAUGAAGACGACGAGUCUGCAUGAUCGGCAUCGGAGCUUAACGUGUCGUCAAAAGAGUUAGUACCUUUGAGAGACAAGAGUGUAGAAGAAGAGAAUGGAACCUCCAUGAGAUGUGGAUGCUCCAGCUGGCCAUUUCGGGAGAGAUAGUAUACUACUACUGCGGCUCUCAUCCUUGCUUCGCCUUCAACCACCAUUUCCAUUCUUUCUAGCAUCAGAAAGCAAGCACAGGACAAUUGGUAAAAGAUGGUGUGGUUUGUUUGUUUGGGCAGAUGCUGGGCAAGAGGCUGUCCCUGCAAAAUCAGAAAGUCUUAACUAUAAUGAAGAGCAGAAGAUGACAGAAGGUUGGAGGCUGGAAAAUUAGAAUCGGAUGUUAGGAGUCAAAAGCUUAUGAUCAAAUUAUUGUUUG
Arachis ipaensis is the source of this 605-nucleotide long non-coding RNA. RefSeq lists it as uncharacterized. The record is from RefSeq and is a predicted model, not a curated record. NCBI's taxonomy places the organism in Eukaryota, Viridiplantae, Streptophyta, Magnoliopsida, Fabales, Fabaceae.